RNAcentral lists this long non-coding RNA (1731 nucleotides) under Anas platyrhynchos platyrhynchos (common mallard). RNAcentral describes it as "lncRNA (ENSAPLG00000004809.2)". The record is from RNAcentral. Lineage: Eukaryota; Metazoa; Chordata; Aves; Anseriformes; Anatidae.
GAACAUAAAUAUCAGUUCAAGAAAAGCAAACAGCUUCUACUUUUUUGUCUUUUCACAGAACUGCCAUAAGGAAGCAAAGCAUCAUUAUUGUUUCUUUCAGUUCUCAGCAAAAAAAAAGGAAGUAAGACUUAAUAAAAGCCAUUGGCUGUAAGAUUUUAUGAGAGAGAGAGAGAGAGGCAGAGAAAAAGGAAGAGAACGAGAACCGUGCUGUAGAAAAGCAGGUGUGAUUCAUGAAUAAACUAUAGUUUGUAACCCUAUGGGAUACUGAUGAAACAAAUAGAAUUUUCACAGACAUGGAUAAUACAAGAACACAAGACACUUUUUCACAGUUAAGCCAGGAAAAAAUCCUCAAAAUUAUGAACAUGGUGAAAAAUAAAGAAGUGAGCAUUGAAGGAGCUUUGCAUUUGGCACAGAAAGAGGUGUAUGCUGAAAAGGAUUCGCCGGAUUUGCUAACUGGCUCACAAUUUAACUUUAGUAUCUACAAAUACAAGCACUAUCGGUGGCAGAAACGAAUUCUGCAGAUUGAUUUCAACACAAAGACAAUUUUUAACUUUGAAAAAGGAAUUAUUAAGAAACAGUUCCCUUUCUCACAAGUCAAAGCCUGUGAAGAUACUGAAAGAAGACGCUUCAGCAUUGUGUUUCAUGGGCGACAAGAUUAUGAGCUGGAAGCAGUGUCUCUUGAUGAUAAAAGGAAGGUAAGUUUUUAUACUGCCACGGAUAGAUUGCUAUAAAUAACAGCUAAUAUUAUGGUAUGGACCCAGCAGGUCCCAGUCAUAAAUGGGAAUUGUUAUGCUGUGCAUUGUGUAAUCAAAGCAGUAGGCAUGUCUUUAUUCUGUGUAUGUUGAUACAUAGAGCAAAAGGAAUGUGAGUCCAGGAUAAAGUUUGGCCACUAAGACUAAAAAUCUACAACUAGCUUGGGAUGUAACAUGAAGAUAGAUCCAUUUUUUUUUUCAACAACAACUUGAAGGCAGUUGGUCUGACUUAGUUGUAUAAAUCAAGCAAACAAAACUGAUGUCAUGCAUAUUUGGAUUUUAACUGAAGUUUUCUAAGAGAUUGUUUUCUUUAUAUGAGACAUACAUUUAUAAAAAUGCAUACUCUUAAGAAUGAAUGAGGCCACCCUCAUGCUGUGGGUGGAGUGGGGAGAGGGAGAAGAGCUAGUGGUUCCUCUUUCACCAUCAAAACAUACUGUACUUAUAAAGUUAUCAGAGGAAGACAGCCUAGGUAUUUGUGUAAUUAAUUUUUGCAAGAUUUUGUAUGAACUGUUUCAGCUCCUUUUGAGUUCUAGGCUGAAUCAAAUAUUCUAAGGAGUUCAUGUAAUUAGGCUCUACACUGAAAUCUGAGAAACUCAAGUUGUGAAAUUAGCCUUUCACCUGAGUGCAGAUACUGACCGUGUUUGGGGGUGGGUCAAGUAUUGGAAUUCAUGCCAUCCCACUGCUGAAGCACUAAAGUCAGAUGCGCUAUUCAGGCUGAGAUAUAGACUCUUAAAAAACAUGGAAUAGUUUAGUAAGAGUUUAGACUUUAGUAACCUGUUAGUGAGAAAAUCUUUUGCAGAGGGGUUUCUCCCUCAUGAAGCUUAUCAGUUUGCAACAUAGGAAGGAACUUUUAUUUCAGACAGCACCUCAUGGCUAGUUAGCUUAAUUUUCAAAAUUGUGUCUAGCAGAAAAGCUUAAAGGUACACUUGUUCUGUGGUAAGAACACUCAGAUUAGGCACAGUAUAACAACAAGAGUCAU